CAGGAAAUGUAAUCGAAGUCUAUGGUCGUCUCCUGGCCUCAAAAUAUGAAACUUAUGAUUUCAAUGUGGAUUUUAUUGAUGGGCCUGUGAUCCUCAAAGCAGAUGGAUGGAUUACCCUUUGCUCACUCGCAGACAGACAGAGGCGCAGCGUAUACUCCAUUCAAAGCAAUCACGGCAUGGGAACGGUUGGCUGCCGAGUGGAAGGCAACUAUAUUGG
This is a long non-coding RNA of Heteronotia binoei (common prickly gecko), 217 nucleotides long. RefSeq lists it as uncharacterized. The transcript is spliced from 3 exons. Lineage: Eukaryota; Metazoa; Chordata; Lepidosauria; Squamata; Gekkonidae. The record is from RefSeq and is a predicted model, not a curated record.